Long non-coding RNA from Apodemus sylvaticus (European woodmouse), 1232 nucleotides. RefSeq lists it as uncharacterized. The transcript is spliced from 2 exons. The record is from RefSeq and is a predicted model, not a curated record. NCBI's taxonomy places the organism in Eukaryota, Metazoa, Chordata, Mammalia, Rodentia, Muridae.
UGACAGCAAGACACCCAAUCCGGCCUGGCUCCAGAUAAAGCAUUGGCGUGGUAACCUGCUCACUUGGCGGUUUAGGGUCCUGUUUCCUUUUUAGUCUGUAGUAUUUUGUCCGUGAACGUUAUAGGACACAAGUCACUUGGAGGCCAGCUUCCUUGGCAGCCUGCCUGUAGUCGUGCUGUCCAAAUAGGUGAUGUCCUUGUCCUUGAUGAGCCCCACAGCUAGGUCUGCAAGGCUUACUUAGCCUGGCAUCUCUCAAACCAUCUUCUGGCCCCAGCUCCUCGAGGUCUUUGUCGUCUCAAUAGAAAAAAGAUGUCAGAGAGAGAACAGCCAGAGGCAUCUGGAAGAGUCCAGAGCAGAGAAAGAAAGAACAUGGUCAGCAGACUGGACAUGGCCUGGUGAGAGAAAACAUAGUGAGAGCAGUAGGGUUUUCAGACAACAAACGGGUGGUGGGGGCUGGGAGCCUGUGAGCUGGAGGGAGUCGAGGUGGUGAGGGGAGCUAAGGUGGCUAGGAAGAGUGAGAAGGUUAGGGUGGACUCUGAAACGUGUAGCAGGUGCUUGUGAUACGGAGGGCGCCUGGAGGACAGCACGAGCUUUUUUAAAUUUUAUUUUAAUUUAUAUUUCUUAUUUAACUAAUAACAUUUAUUUUAAAAUAUGCAACUCAUUAUUGACAUUUAAGCCAUCAGAAUAAUAUAUAAUAGUUAAAUGCUUCUUAAAUAUACAUGAUAUCUUCUGAAGCUAAAAAUAAUAUGCACUCGACCAGUUUUUAAAAUCUAUGUGGAACAUUAAACAUGAUAGGAGUAGAAAAAACAAAAAAGAAUCUCUUGGGUUGGAGAUGAAAGGAUGAGAAAUACAGCCUAACUCUCGAAUGACCCCAAGAAGUCAGAAGUUUAAAAAUGCUAUCUCACGCCAAAGGAGCCCUAACUCCAGCCUCCUAAGAAGUCCUAAAUUCUUCAAAUUCCAGACCCUGCUCUCUGCCGGUAAAUAGGUAAAAGGUCACAUUUCUUGUUGUUCCAGAGCCUGCUCUCUGUAUGGAACUAGAUGAAAUGGCGUAAGGCAGGCCCUUGAGUAUGUGAUCCUGGCCUAGUAAGAUAACAGGACGUGAGCUGACUAACCGCUUAUCUGGCUUCUGUAAACUGCUUGCUCUGUGGAAGGAAAGCCCUUGUGACCUAUCUUAACUACAAUCUGUCACCCCCGACCCAGGAAGGAGCCCACGCAAAUGCGGACCUCCGAGA